UCUUAUCUCUUAAGAUUACGACAAGUGUCGCAUUACAUGCGUGUCAUUUGUCCCAACCUGAAUUUUUUUUGUUUCGUAGAUUUGUAUUUUCAAAACAUUUUAUCUUCUAAACUGUACAUCCAAAACUCAAAAUAUUUUCAUCGUUGGAUUUCUCGCGUUAAGAUAUUCAAAACUAAAUACCAUGUUGAUAGGUUUUGACAAACUUUCUUUUCAUAAAAAA
RNAcentral lists this long non-coding RNA (220 nucleotides) under Hordeum vulgare. RNAcentral's name for it is "long non-coding RNA (HVUL_LNC015094)". The record is from RNAcentral. Lineage: Eukaryota; Viridiplantae; Streptophyta; Magnoliopsida; Poales; Poaceae.